GUUCCUUUAUGAUAUUAUCCCCUUGCCCUGUUUGGGAUAGAAUGUUCCAUGGAAACGCCCUUUGUGUGUCCCCUUCUCUUGUUCUGCCCUUGGGUGUGGCCUUCCUAGAUGUCAGUCAACCUGCUGACAGUGGACAUCAGGAAGCUAGACUCAGCCCCCUGAAACCUGACCCCUUGCCUCAUGUGAAUGGCUUCUCCUCAAUAAAAGGGGUCAGCGCACCCUAGCUCGCUCUCUCUUUCUGCAGACCCUUAAGGUCGGAGGAGCCGUC
This 268-nucleotide long non-coding RNA is filed under the name Marmota monax (woodchuck). Lineage: Eukaryota; Metazoa; Chordata; Mammalia; Rodentia; Sciuridae. The record is from RNAcentral.